GUGGGGAAUAUGGGACAAUGGGCGAAAGCCUGAUCCAGCCAUGCCGCGUGUGUGAAGAAGGUCUUCGGAUUGUAAAGCACUUUAAGUUGGGAGGAAGGGUAGUAACCUAAUACGUUGCUACUUUGACGUUACCGACAGAAUAAGCACCGGCUAACUUCGUGCCAGCAGCCGCGGUAAUACGAAGGGUGCAAGCGUUAAUCGGAAUUACUGGGCGUAAAGCGCGCGGAGGUGGUUUUGUAAGUUGGAGGUGAAGUCGCCGGGCUCAACCUGGGAACUGCAUCCAAAACUGCAUGACUAGAGUACGGUAGAGGGUAGUGGAAUUUCCUGUGUAGCGGUGAAAUGCGUAGAUAUAGGAAGGAACACCAGUGGCGAAGGCGACUACCUGGACUGAUACUGACACUGAGGUGCGAAAGCGUGGGGAGCAAACAGGAUUAGAAACCCCGGUAGUCC
This 450-nucleotide ribosomal RNA is filed under the name uncultured bacterium. RNAcentral's name for it is "partial 16S ribosomal RNA". It matches the Rfam family "Bacterial small subunit ribosomal RNA", at positions 354 to 796 of the family's 1533-position model. The record is from RNAcentral.